UGCAUUGCUAUGGCUUGACCUUGUGGAGCCAUCAACAACAAACAAUUUCUUUAGGGGAAAUUUGAGUGAGGAUGCAAGAUUCUCGAUCUUCAAUCUAAGCUCUCCCUGUGGAAGCGGAGUGAACUUGUUGAAAAGUGGAGCAAUUAGUACUGGGUAGAUAGUCAUCAUAACAAGAGACAAAACCAGCAUAAAUCCCCAUAAGUAAAUUGCCAAGUAAGGACCUCCUUUCUGCACUAUAACAAUAAUGGCAGCCACAAUGGGAGGACCAAUCACAAUAGAUAAAGCAAUUCCUUUUAUCAUAUCCCUGAAGUAUAACCACACUGUUUGCUUGUUGAACCCAUGGCGGGCCUCGAUAACAAAGGUUGAAUACAACGAAAAUGGCAGAUCGGUGAUCUGUGACCAAACCAUAACUCCUGCUAAAAAUGAGAGUGUGUGAAAUAUUUCAUUCUCUGCAUUGAGACCAAGGAAUACCAGAAACUCUCCUGAUCUCUUCCAAAACCAGGGCAAUAUCCGGAAGUACAAGAUGGAAGAGUCCAUAAUUAUGGUAACAAACUCGUGGAUAAAAUGGAAGUAACUUUUGUCUAGACUAUAAGCACGGGACUUCUCAAAUUUUUCCUGGCUGAUAACUCCCACCAAAGGUUUGGGAAGUGUUGGCAAUUUAUGAGCAGCAUGCUGCCGUACAUCAAGGUAUGACUCAAAUAUAUACAUUAAUAUCAUGAAACCAACAACUGCUUCCAAGUACGGAAAUGCCAUGGCGAACUCACUGUGAAGAGAG
This 775-nucleotide unclassified non-coding RNA is filed under the name Hevea brasiliensis (rubber tree). The record is from RNAcentral. Lineage: Eukaryota; Viridiplantae; Streptophyta; Magnoliopsida; Malpighiales; Euphorbiaceae.